This 844-nucleotide ribosomal RNA is filed under the name Rossmaessleria sicanoides. RNAcentral describes it as "eukaryotic LSU rRNA". The stretch from base 495 to 844 matches the Rfam family "Eukaryotic large subunit ribosomal RNA", at positions 1 to 344 of the family's 3401-position model. Lineage: Eukaryota; Metazoa; Mollusca; Gastropoda; Stylommatophora; Helicidae. The record is from RNAcentral.
UGGCGGCCUCGGGUCCAUCCCGAGGCCACGCCCGUCUGAGGGUCGGCGAGUCAGACAAGCUAUCGCCUCCUUUCUUGGCAACAGGUUUCCGCACUGAAGGCGUCUGCUUCUCUCGAACAUUUUUUGCUCUGAAAUGACGACGAGAUGGUCGCUAGAAUGUGUUUGGGGGCCGUGGAGGUGCUUUGGGUUUUCGCGGAUCUCUUCUGAUCCCCGUGACUUUAAGUGCAUGCUGCGCCGUCCGUCAUCUCGUGACGUCUCGGUGCCCGGAACAGCUCUGACUAUUUUGUUUUCCGGGCACUAGCGACAGGCGAGAGAAGUUUGAUUCUCUCCUAACCGACGCCGCCGGCCGUCGUGCUGGACUCGGAUUGAUCGGAUAUCAUCGAGCCGCCGGCGUGCUGGAAGCUGCGUGGGAGAAAUGAAGCUCAUGACGGCGCCCAGUUAAAAACCAAAGCAAGUGCGCUCGCAUAGCGCUGCUUGCUUUUGUUUCAUAUAUCCGACCUCAGAUCGGACGAGAUUACCCGCUGAAUUUAAGCAUAUUACUAAGCGGAGGAAAAGAAACUAACAAGGAUUCCCUCAGUAACGGCGAGUGAAGCGGGAAUAGCCCAGCACCGAAUCCCUCAGUGUCAUGCUGACGGGAACUGUGGUGUGUGGGACGCCACCAGUCGCAUCAGAGGGCGCCGAAGUCCUCCUGAUCGGGGCUUCACCCAGAGCGGGUGUAAGGCCUUUGCGGGUGCCUCUCUGUGCGGCCGCGAGCGUCUCAGGAGUCGGGUUGUUUGGGAAUGCAGCCCAAAGCGGGUGGUAAACUCCAUCUAAGGCUAAAUACUGGCACGAGUCCGAUAGCGGA